CAGCUACCCAAUAUUCAGGGGAUCCUUUUCCUGAACCCAUACGUGUUUCUGCGGGUCUUAGUGUAACUGGUUUGUCUGGAAAUAUACGUACCCAUAUUUUUCCACCACGACGUGCAUUUCGUGUCAUUGCCCGUCGGCCUGCUUCUAUUUGUCGAGAUGUAAUCCAAGCAGGUUCAAGUGCCUGAAGAGCAUAUUUACCGAAAGAAAUAUGAUUACCUCGAGAAGAUAUUCCCUUCAUUCUGCCUCUAUGUUGUUUACGGAAUCUGGUUCUUUUGGGGUUAUACAUAGCAAUUAUAUCAAAUGGUCAAUCGAAUUUUUAUUCAACCUUAUAGAAUUAAGAAUUAUAAAUGUCCCCCUUGAUUAGAAAAAGAAUGGAUUGGUCUUUUUUUUUGUUCAAUCAUUGGAUAGAAGGGAAAGACAAGUAGUCAAAUUAUUCCGCGUCUAGAAAUAUCCAAAUUUUGAUGCCCAAUAUUCCAUAGAUAGUUCGAACUGUAUAAGAGCAAUAAUCAAUUUUAGCUCGAAUCGUUUGUAGGGGAACCCUGCCUUCUCUGAUCCAUUCGACACGUGCAAUUUCUUUUCCGUCGAUACGCCCCGCAAUUUGUAUUUGAAUUCCUUUUGUAUCCGCUUGUUCUGUUAAUUCAAUAGCCUUUUUCAUUGCUUUUCGAAAUGAAACUCUAUUCUUUAAUUGUCCAGCUAUAAAUUCUGCAAGAAUAUUAGGGUUUCCGUAAGGUUUUGCAAUUCUUGUGACAGCAAUGUUCAGUUUUCGGUUUACACAAUUAAAUUCUUUUUGUAAGGUCAUUUGUAAUUCUUCGAUUCCGCGCGGUCGACUUUCUAUUAAUAAUUUUGGGAAUCCCAUAAAGAUUAUGACCUGGAUCAGAUCGAUUCUUUUUUGAAUCUCUAUACGUGCAAUUCCCUCGAUGCCAGAGGACGUUCUCAUAUUCUUUUGGACAUAAUUCUUGAUACAAUCUCUUAUUUUUUUAUCUUCUUGUAAACCCUCAGAAUAAUUUUUGGGUUGUGAAAACCAAAGGGAAUGAUGACCUUGGGUUGUACCCAGUCUGAAACCAAGUGGAUUUAUUUUUUGUCCCAUAAUCCCCCGCUAUUAUACAUAUCACGAUACGUCAUAGCUGUAGAUUUUUUUUUCCAUCUCGUUUUUUUUAACGAAGACAUCUCGCCAUAUUCAUCAUCUAAAGAUAUAUCUUUCAUUACAAUAGUUAUAUGACAGGUCGAUCUUUUUAUCGGAAAACUACGUCCUCGAGCUCGAGGUUUCAAUUUCUUCACAGUAGUACCUUCAUUGACUUCGGCUUUACUAAUGACUAAAUUGGUUUCGUUGGAACCCAUAUUGUAACUCGCAUUUGCUGCUGCAGAAUAAACCAAUUUCAAAAUGGGAUAACAUGCUCGAUAGGGCAUGAGUUCUAGUAUCAUAAGCGUUUCCUCAUAGGAACGUCCACGAAUUUGAUCAAUUACUCUUCGUGCUUUGUCAGCAGACAUAGAUAUAUGUUCACCUAAAGCAUAUACUUCUGUUUUUUUCUUCUUUAGCAUAAGGUUUGCCUCCUACUACUGAAUCAUAAGCAUCUAUAUUUUUUUAUUAAUAUUAACGACGAGAUCUAUUAUCGCUUUUUGCAUGUCCUCUAAAAUUUAAUGUAGGUGCAAAUUCUCCCAAUUUGUGGCCUACCAUACUAUCCGUUAUAUAAAUAGGCAAAUGCUCUUUUCCAUUAUGGAUAGCAAUAGUAUGACCGAUCAUUGUGGGUAUAAUGGUAGAUGCCCGGGACCAAGUUACUAUUAUUUCUUUUUCUGCUUUUGUGUUAAGCUUAUCAAUUUUUUUUAAUAAAUGAUUGGCUACAAAGGGAUUUUUUUUUAGUGAACGUGUCACAAGCUUACUCCUAUUUUUUUUUUGUAAAGUUUUUGUAAAAACGAAGAAUUAAAUUCUAUUUUCUCUCCUAUUUACUACGGCGACGAAGAAUCAAAUUAUCACUAUAUUUAUUCCUUUUUCUACUUCUUCUUCCAAGUGCAGGAUAACCCCAAGGGGUUGUGGGUUUUUUUCUACCAAUUGGGGCUCUCCCUUCACCACCCCCAUGGGGAUGGUCUACAGGGUUCAUAACUACUCCUCUUACUACAGGACGCUUACCUAGCC
Molecule: long non-coding RNA, 2131 nt
Organism: Solanum verrucosum
Lineage: Eukaryota; Viridiplantae; Streptophyta; Magnoliopsida; Solanales; Solanaceae
Exons: 2
Source: RefSeq, a predicted model, not a curated record